RNAcentral lists this ribosomal RNA (257 nucleotides) under uncultured bacterium. RNAcentral's name for it is "partial 16S ribosomal RNA". It matches the Rfam family "Bacterial small subunit ribosomal RNA", at positions 524 to 776 of the family's 1533-position model. The record is from RNAcentral.
GACGUAGGUGGCGAACGUUAUCCGGAAUUAUUGGGCGUAAAGGGUGCGUAGAUGGUAUGAUAAGUUAUUGGUGGUAAAUCGGGGCUCAACCUCGUGGAAGCUAGUAAUACUGUUAUACUUGAGUACAGGAGAGGUUAAUGGAAUUCCCUGUGGAGCGGUAAAAUGCGUUAGAUAUAGGGAGGAACACCAAUAACGGCGAAGGCAAUUAACUAUCCUGCUACUGACAUUGAGGCACGAAAGCGUGGGGAGCAAAAAGG